CCUACGGGGGGCAGCAGUGGGGAAUAUUGCACAAUGGGGGAAACCCUGAUGCAGCGACGCCGCGUGAAGGAAGAAGGUUUUCGGAUCGUAAACUUCUAUCAGCAGGGAAGAAGAAAGUGACAGUACCUGACUAAGAAGCCCCGGCUAACUACGUGCCAGCAGCCGCGGUAAUACGUAGGGGGCAAGCGUUAUCCGGAAUCACUGGGUGUAAAGGGUGCGUAGGCGGUAGGGCAAGUCAGAUGUGAAAGCCCGGGGCUCAACCCCGGGAUUGCAUUUGAAACUAUCUUACUAGAGUGCAGGAGAGGAAAGCGGAAUUCCUAGUGUAGCGGUGAAAUGCGGAGGCAUUAGGAGGAACACCAGGGGCGAAGGCGGCUUUCUGGACUGUAAUGGACGCUGGGGCACGAAAGCGUGGGUAGCGACCAGGAUUAGAUACCCGUGUAGUC
RNAcentral lists this ribosomal RNA (443 nucleotides) under uncultured bacterium. RNAcentral describes it as "bacterial SSU rRNA". It matches the Rfam family "Bacterial small subunit ribosomal RNA", at positions 338 to 795 of the family's 1533-position model. The record is from RNAcentral.